Molecule: small RNA, 57 nt
Filed under: Arabidopsis thaliana (thale cress)
Lineage: Eukaryota; Viridiplantae; Streptophyta; Magnoliopsida; Brassicales; Brassicaceae
Description: ATSL238420
Source: RNAcentral
ACAAGAAGAAAGAAAAAUGUAACAAACAAGAAAAGGCUCGGCAAAGAAAUGAAAAAA